GUCUACAGCCAUACCACCCUGAACGCACCUGAUCUCGUCUGACCUAGGAAGCUAAGCAAGGUCGGGCCUGGUUAGUACUUGGAUGGGAGGAAUGAAGUACAGUGGACC
Molecule: ribosomal RNA, 108 nt
Filed under: Heterocephalus glaber (naked mole-rat)
Lineage: Eukaryota; Metazoa; Chordata; Mammalia; Rodentia; Bathyergidae
Source: RNAcentral